This 247-nucleotide ribosomal RNA is filed under the name uncultured bacterium. Its description in RNAcentral is "partial 16S ribosomal RNA". It matches the Rfam family "Bacterial small subunit ribosomal RNA", at positions 523 to 769 of the family's 1533-position model. The record is from RNAcentral.
AUACGUAGGUGGGCAAGCGUUGUCCGGAUUUACUGGGUGUAAAGGGUGAGUAGGCGGUUACAUAUGUCAGAUGUAAAAGGCUAAGGCUUAACCAUAGUAUGCAUUUGAAACUGUGUGACUUGAGUACAGGAGAGGUAAGCGGAAUUCCUAGUGUAGCGGUGAAAUGCGUAGAUAUUAGGAGGAACACCAGUGGCGAAGGCGGCUUACUGGACUGUAACUGACGCUGAGUCACGAAAGCGUGGGUAGC